UACAGAGGCCCCAAGCGUUAGCCGGAAUUAUUGGGCGUAAAGGGUCCGCAGGCGGAGUAGAGCGUCUUCUGUGAAAUCCUAUCGGCUCAACCGAGAGGCUGCAGUGGAUACGACUACUCUUGAGGCAAGGAGAGGUAAGCGGAAUUCCUAGUGGAGCGGUGAAAUGCGUUGAUAUUAGGGAGAACACCAAUUGCGAAGGCAGCUUACUGGCCUUGUCCUGACGCUCAGGGACGACAGCGUGGGGAGUGAACGGG
This 254-nucleotide ribosomal RNA is filed under the name uncultured bacterium. Its description in RNAcentral is "partial 16S ribosomal RNA". It matches the Rfam family "Bacterial small subunit ribosomal RNA", at positions 524 to 776 of the family's 1533-position model. The record is from RNAcentral.